CCUCCAUUUUCCAACACUCCGCGGCGGCACUGCUAACACAGCUCCGGCAGUAGAGCCACCAGAGCCAGCCCUGUACCUGGAGAGGAAGCCAGGACCGGGGCAGCCAUGGCAGCCAACAUGUACCGGGUUGGAGAUUAUGUUUAUUUUGAGAACUCGUCCAGUAACCCACUGCUGAUCAGGAGGAUAGAGGAGCUGAACAAGACAGCCAAUGGGAAUGUGGAGGCCAAAGUGGUGUGUUUUUACCGACGCAGGGACAUCUCCAGCACACUCAUCGCCCC
This is a long non-coding RNA of Sphaeramia orbicularis (orbiculate cardinalfish), 278 nucleotides long. RefSeq lists it as uncharacterized. The record is from RefSeq and is a predicted model, not a curated record. NCBI's taxonomy places the organism in Eukaryota, Metazoa, Chordata, Actinopteri, Kurtiformes, Apogonidae. The transcript is spliced from 3 exons.